Molecule: long non-coding RNA, 4010 nt
Organism: Clupea harengus (Atlantic herring)
Lineage: Eukaryota; Metazoa; Chordata; Actinopteri; Clupeiformes; Clupeidae
Source: Ensembl
GUGUAAAAUCCAUUCAGUCUCUAUCUGAUGCUAAUGCUAAUCCCGCUGCCUCUGUGGUUAGGCUGGGAUAAAGGACGUUGAAAAGGCCAUCCAGCUGGCCAGAAACAACAGGCAACUUCUCCUCCAGUCCUUGAAUGCAACACAGACCGUGCAGGAUGAAUCACGCCAGCCCAAGGGGACCGCAAGAAUCGGGGAAGAGCCUAUGCCCAAUAUCACACCAGUGGAGAAAUCAGUCUUGGAAGCAAGUACCAUGACUAAUAAAGAAAAGGUUCCUCCUCCUCCCGCUGCUGCUGCUGCUGCUAGGCCCAAGACCCAGAGCUUUCAGCAGCUGAACAAGUCUGGCGUGUGGUCGAAGUUAGUGGACGAAGCUGUGGCUGUGCUCCAAGAGGGGGCCAGGAGGAUCUUUCUACCUGAGGACAAGAGCAAAGCGGGAGGCCCUCAGGACAAGGACAAAGAGAGACGCCUUGAGGACAAUGCCAAAGAGGGACGCCCUCAGGACAAUGCCAAAGAGGGACGCCUUGAGGACAAGUCCAAAGAGGGAGACCUUCAGGGCAAGACUGAAGACGGGCGUCCUGAUGUCAAGACCAAAGAGGAAGCCCUUGUUGGUGUGGAUGGACAGGAAAUGCAGAACAAAGACAAAGCUGAGGGACAGCACAAAACGAAAGCCUCAGUGAAGAAGUCAAAGGGGAAGAAAAAGGCGGCAGCACUCAACUCCGGAGUUCCAUCUCUGAAGGUCUGAGUCACACAGGAACGAAGCAGUGGCGAGUUGGAGCUGGUUAUCUUGCAGCACAGACAGCGGAGUGUGUGCUGCACACCGCAGGAUGUGGGAGGCGUGUUUGUGACGAGACCUGCUCCGCUCUACACCUUGGAAAGGCCACUUCCUGCCCCGUGUCACAAAAUAUACACAAAUAGACUUCUUUAUUUACAACAUGCGAACAAAUUUUUUUUGUUUUUCUCUCUGCUAACAAACUAUAAAGUCUACUAAAGAAUUAAGAAAUUGCAUAGGCUAUGUGAGGCUAAGAGAAUACAGCAUAUAUAUCAGACCUAUAGAGAGUAUUCUAUUUAUUUUACAUUAUCAGAACAGCGAAGCAAUGUACAAGCACUGAUGUUAAAGAUUAUCUCUGAAAUGUACUACAGAAACUGAACUGAGAUAUGUGUACAAGAUUCCAGUGAAAUAACUGUCUCUGAUUGGUGAAUGCACCUACAACUCCUGUGGCCAAUAGCACCGUGGAAACAGACCCAUUGGAAACAUAACAGCAGGCACUGGAAAUAUGACAAUAGGCACUGGAAAUAUGACAGUAGGCACUGAAAAUAUGACAAAGGCACUGGAAAUAUGACAAAGGCACUGGAAAUAUGACAACAGGCACUAGACAUUUGACAGCAGGCACUAUAAAGUGACCAGUGGAAAUGUGAGUAAUAUGAUACAUUUCACUGUCGCUAGUAGAAAUGCUUUUGGCAGAGAAAAUUAUUUGGCAGAUGCUUUUGUCCAAAGUGAAAGCUUUUUAACCAUACAAAUGAUGAACUCAGCGUGAUACAAACUUUAGCAGAUAUCAAUGGUAUGUGAAUCCCAAUUGAUCUCUCUCUUAAUUGUCUUCUGUCUGAUUUGAGGACCACAUGUUUGUGCCGUUAACUAUGGAAAAAGAGAGAGAGAGAGAGAGUGAGAGAGAGAGAGCAGAAGAGAGAAGAAGAGAGGGUGUUAAGGUGUCAGUAGGUGUUAGUCAGACACUAACUGAGACUUGGUUGUCUCUCACAUAAUCUCAAAUAUUGGGACAUCCAACCCACAAUAAGCGUUCAAACUUUCUGUUGUAAUUAAAUCAUUGCAGUUGUGUUAAAAUGUCUGACCUGUUCUAUGAGUCUUCUUCUUUCUGCACACGCAUAUAGUCACGGCCAGACUAAUCAGAAGCCCCAAAGACACGGGUAUGAUGACAUCUGUGGACCAAAUACAUGUCAACAUUCCUGUUCAUUACAUUGACUCAUUGAGCAGAUGUCUUUAAUCAAAUCGACUUCCAGUAUGGUACAGAUACAUAGAGACAUUCAUCAGUGUGUGCGCCGCCUGGGUAGGGAACCCACGACUCGGUGGUGUUACCCCCUUUUGCCUUACCAGUUGAGCUUCAGGUUCACUAUGUUCCCUGCUAAAGCAUUUAAGUUCCUAAGUAACAAUCCUCAUAGAAAUAUAUUUACUGUUCUAGAUAUUUUGACUCAUUAAAUACCAAAUAAAUAUACAGAGUAUAUAGUCUGCAGGUAAUGGCUACUGACAGUAAAUCCACCAAUGCUCCUCCACGUCCACUAUGAUGACAUCAGCAACACUGCGAGAAGGGGUGGUGGUGUUUGUCACGGAAUCAGUCCUGUGAGUCGUGGCCACAGUUUGGGUGUCUGCACAAACAAACAAACAAAUAAACAAACAACAUUACUACAGGUCUACAUUCUACAUGCCAACUGACAAUGCAGUGAAGUCUAUUGGCCUAAAAUCUAAAUUGAUUAAGUAUGGAUGAUAAAUCUGAAAUCAAUUAUACAGAUUAAAUAUGGAACAAUAUCAGAAUAUCAAGAAACUGAGGAAAUGCAAUAGCAAUUACGAAUUACGAAUAAAAUUACGAUUAACUGACUCAUACCAGACAGUACAAUUGUGUUUAGAAAUGGAAAGGAAUAUUCCAGAUGUUUAGGAUGUAUCUGGGUGCAUACGUUCUCAGUGUCCCAUGUUCAGUCCUACUCUCCCACAUACAUUUAGCCUAAUAAUACAUUUAGUCUAAUAAUGCAUUUAGUCUAAUAAUAUAUUUAGUCUAAUAAUGCAUUGCCACCUGCCGCCUUAAAGAAAGAGAUCAAACUCAACCGUGGCAGGGAUGCAGCAGCACUGAGUUCUUGUUGCUGCUGACGUGGUUUGAGACGCUGCAGGUGAGUUCUCCAGUCACAUUCCGACUCAGCCGCAGAGUCUGGUUAUCUGCUCUGAGAUCAGCAUCAGCUUCACUCAGAGGCCUCCCGUUCAGGGACCAGAUGUACUGAGGACUGUCCCCAUUGGAGGAGCAGUUCACAGCCCUGAUCCAAUCGCUGCAGUGCUGGGUAAGCACAGGCUUGUCCACAGGAGCUGGUCAGAGGGGACAUUUAUUAGACACGACUCAUCACACACCCAGCAGUCUUUGCCACUGUGAGCAUCAGAGUUAGGAGUCAUUCAUGUUAUUAAGAACAGUGCAUUUAGGAAGUACAACAUUACUUUUUUGGCAGUUGGCACAUGUUGUUAUAAGAUAUACUCUAGGUUAGGAAUAGGGUCAUAGAUGUAAUAUUAUGAAAUUACAAGUACAAGUAUUAUUUAUGACUUACAUAAGUAAACAAGGUGGUACCAAUGUAGGGAUUAGAGAUAAGUUUUAAGCUUACCUUCGAUUGUUAGUUGGACUGUUGACCCCCCAAUGCUCUUCCCUGUUGACUGAUCAAAGCUCUCUGCUUUGUAGAGUCCAGAGUCAUUUCUCUCAGCUGGGCCUAUUCUCAGAGUCCCAUUCUCAGGACUGAACUGCCAUCUAUCCUUGACGCUGUCCUUGAGAAAUGUAACCUGGGAUUUUCUGAAUCUGAAAAUCCUUUGGUCAUUGUGAUCUAAAUUUAAUGCGUAUCCGCUGGUGCUCGUUGUCAGUUGUAGAUGCACUGUGUGUCCCAGUGUCCUAUAACAAGGUGUCUCCCGCCUAACACUGCAGAUGGUUUCCACUUGAAACAUUCCUGUGAAUAUAGAAUACAGAUACUCAAUGGUCUUAGAUGCACUUAGCCUUUGUUGAGUUCUGAGCCAUUCAAUUGAAAUGCAGAUCAACCACAAAUCCCUACAGAUAAUAGAUAGAUAUGCAGUCUAAUUAUAUCUAUACCAGUAGCACGGACAUUUCUGAUCUUUCAAGCUAUGCUAAUUUAUGCACACAGAUAGAAACUGAGUAAAUAUAGUGGGUUGAACUACAGUAUGCAGUGAAUUUGUGUAGCCAAUUAAUUUGUGGAUGUCAUCACACAGGGUGAAUAUGUUUUUCUAUGUGCUUGCGGUACGU